GAUGAACGCUGACAGAAUGCUUAACACAUCAGCAAUGGAUUGGUGGCGGACGGGUGAGGAACGCGUAAAGAACUUGCCUCACAGCUAGGGACAACAUUUAGAAAUGAAAGCUAAUACCUGAUCCUGUGAGAGAGCUUUGCGUCCCAUUAGCUAGUUGGCGAGGUAACAGCUCACCAAGGCGAUGAUGGGUAGCCGGACUGAGAGGGUGAACGGCAACAAGGGGACUGAGACACCGCCCUUACUCCUACGGGAGGCAGCAGUGGGGAAUAUUGGACAAUGUACCGAAGUCUGAUCCAGCAAUUCUGUGUGUACGAUGAAGUUGUCGGAAUGUAAAGUGCUUUCAGUUGGGAAGCGGUACCAACAGAAGAAGUGACGGCUAAAUACGUGCCAGCAGCCGCGGUAAUUC
This 406-nucleotide ribosomal RNA is filed under the name uncultured bacterium. RNAcentral describes it as "partial 16S ribosomal RNA". It matches the Rfam family "Bacterial small subunit ribosomal RNA", at positions 28 to 526 of the family's 1533-position model. The record is from RNAcentral.